UACGAAGGGGGCUAGCGUUGCUCGGAUUUACUGGGCGUAAAGGGCGCGUAGGCGGUUCGUACAGUCAGACGUGAAAUUCCUGGGCUCAACCUGGGGGCUGCGUUUGAUACGUGCGGACUUGAGUGCGGAAGAGGGUCGUGGAAUUCCCAGUGUAGAGGUGAAAUUCGUAGAUAUUGGGAAGAACACCGGUGGCGAAGGCGGCGACCUGGUCCGAUACUGACGCUGAGGCGCGAAAGCGUGGGGAGCGAACAGG
Molecule: ribosomal RNA, 253 nt
Filed under: uncultured bacterium
Lineage: Bacteria
Description: partial 16S ribosomal RNA
Rfam family: Bacterial small subunit ribosomal RNA
Source: RNAcentral